Long non-coding RNA from Branchiostoma floridae (Florida lancelet), 578 nucleotides. RefSeq lists it as uncharacterized. Lineage: Eukaryota; Metazoa; Chordata; Leptocardii; Amphioxiformes; Branchiostomatidae. The record is from RefSeq and is a predicted model, not a curated record. The transcript has 3 exons.
CUUGAUGCAAAUUAUUGACGAACGGCUGUCAACAAUAUCAAGACAACAAUUAAAUGUUUCAUCGUUUGACAGAUAAAUACCCUACUAUUAGUUAUUUUUUAAAGCGUCAUAACUUCAUUUUUUUCCAAAUGUGCUUGUCAAACGUGCAGGUGGAUACCAAAUGCUGAACACACUAUGGCUGGUCAUGAAGUCAGCCUGUUCUUUGGGAUCCGGGCGUUUUUCCUCAGUCUCGUGGAGGUAUUGUUCCAGUCUCAUUCCUUCCUUAUAUGAUAAAUGUGAAGAUUUAAUAUCAGUACGUAGGUUUCCAGGACACAGUGUCUUUGUUUGGGAAGUCCAAACCACAAACUUGUUUACCUACAGGACUGGCAGCGACCAGAGAUGACUUGGACGAGAGAAACGGGUACAAAUAGCGGGAAGAUAACACUACACACUAACGUAAAACCAAAAAUCAUCCGAUCCUUCUACGCUCGCACCCUUGAUGGUAAAAGACGUGACUUCCGCCUGGUACAUCUACCGCCUGGAGAGCUGGGUCUUCAGCCCCACCCCGUCAUCUGGCUGCCUCAGGACGUGCUGGAUAU